Molecule: unclassified non-coding RNA, 313 nt
Filed under: plant metagenome
Description: partial contains 5.8S ribosomal RNA, internal transcribed spacer 2, and large subunit ribosomal RNA
Rfam family: 5.8S ribosomal RNA (bases 1-104)
Source: RNAcentral
AAAUGCGAUAAUUAAUGUGAAUUGCAGAAUUCAGUGAAUCAUCGAGUCUUUGAACGCACAUUGCGCCCCCUGGUAUUCCGGGGGGCAUGCCUGUCCGAGCGUCAUUGCUGCCCUCAAGCACGGCUUGUGUGUUGGGCUUCCGUCCCUGGCAACGGGGACGGGCCCAAAAGGCAGUGGCGACACCAUGUCUGGUCCUCGAGCGUAUGGGGCUUUGUCACCCGCUCCCGUAGGUCCAGCUGGCAGCUAGCCUCGCAACCAAUCUUUUUAACCAGGUUGACCUCGGAUCAGGUAGGGAUACCCGCUGAACUUAAGC